AUUCCAGCUCCAAGAGCAUAUAUUAAAGUUGUUGCAGUUAAAAAGCUCGUAGUUGGAUUUCUGGUACAAUGCGCCUGGCCCGCCACAGUUUAUGUGUGUGAGUGCCGGUGCGCGUUUGCCAUCUUUCUAGAAAACGUUUCUACCCUUUACUGGGCCGGAUUCGCGAUCUAGAUCGUUUACUUUGAAAAAAUUAGAGUGUUUAAAGCAGGCUUAUGCUAUGAAUACAUUAGCAUGGAAUAAUAAUCUAGGACUUCGGUUCUAUUUUGUUGGUUUCUAGACCUGAAGUAAUGAUUGAUAGGGACAGUUGGGGGUGCUAGUAUUGGCCGGCCAGAGGUGAAAUUCUUGGAUUCGGUCAAGACUAACUUAUGCGAAAGCAUUCACCAAGGAUGUCUUCAUCA
RNAcentral lists this ribosomal RNA (398 nucleotides) under Protaspa sp. RNAcentral's name for it is "partial small subunit ribosomal RNA". It matches the Rfam family "Eukaryotic small subunit ribosomal RNA", at positions 582 to 975 of the family's 1831-position model. Lineage: Eukaryota; Cercozoa; Thecofilosea; Cryomonadida; Protaspidae. The record is from RNAcentral.